GAUGAAGAACGUAGCGAAAUGCGAUAAGUAUUGUGAAUUGCAGAAUCCAGUGAAUCAUCGAAUCUUUGAACGCACAUUGCGCCGCCUGGUAUUCCGGGGGGCAUGCCUGUUCGAGCGUCAUUUCACCACUCAAGCCUCGCUUGGUAUUGGGCAACGCGGUCCGCCGCGUGCCUCAAAUCGACCGGCUGGGUCUUCUGUCCCCUAAGCGUUGUGGAAACUAUUCGCUAAAGGGUGUUCGGGAGGCUACGCCGUAAAACAACCCCAUUUCUAAGGUUGACCUCGGAUCAGGUAGGGAUACCCGCUGAACUUAAGCAUAUCAAUAAGCGGAGGA
Molecule: unclassified non-coding RNA, 331 nt
Filed under: soil metagenome
Description: partial contains 5.8S ribosomal RNA, internal transcribed spacer 2, and large subunit ribosomal RNA
Rfam family: 5.8S ribosomal RNA (bases 1-120)
Source: RNAcentral